This 613-nucleotide ribosomal RNA is filed under the name uncultured bacterium. Its description in RNAcentral is "bacterial SSU rRNA". The stretch from base 1 to 520 matches the Rfam family "Bacterial small subunit ribosomal RNA", at positions 338 to 873 of the family's 1533-position model. The record is from RNAcentral.
CCUACGGGAGGCAGCAGUGGGGAAUCUUGCGCAAUGGGCGAAAGCCUGACGCAGCAACGCCGCGUGCGGGAAGAAGGCUUUCGGGCUGUAAACCGCUUUCAGCAGGAACGAAAAUGACGGUACCUGCAGAAGAAGGAGCGGCCAACUAUGUGCCAGCAGCCGCGGUGAUACAUAGGCUUCAAGCGUUGUCCGGAUUUAUUGGGCGUAAAGAGUUCGUAGGCGGUCGAGUAAGUCGGGUGUGAAAAUUCUGGGCUCAACCCAGAGACGCCACCCGAUACUGCUUGACUUGAGUUCGAUAGGGGAGUGGGGAAUUCCUAGUGUAGCGGUGAAAUGCGCGGAUAUUAGGAGGAACACCGGUGGCGAAGGCGCCACUCUGGAUCGAUACUGACGCUGAGGAACGAAAGCAUGGGUAGCAAACAGGAUUAGAUACCCUGGUAGUCCAUGCCGUAAACGGUGGGCACUAGGUGUGGGUUUCUAUUAACGAAAUCCGCGCCGUCGCUAACGCAUUAAGUGCCCCGCCUGGGGGAGGUACGGUCGCGAGAACGUAAACGUACGAAAGAAGUAGUAAGGUACGUGUUAGAGUAGUUCGACGACGACGACGACGGAGGAGGAG